Molecule: unclassified non-coding RNA, 277 nt
Filed under: Hevea brasiliensis (rubber tree)
Lineage: Eukaryota; Viridiplantae; Streptophyta; Magnoliopsida; Malpighiales; Euphorbiaceae
Source: RNAcentral
AAAGAAAGAGUUAGAUGUGGUGGACUAUUUAGUGGUUUUAUGAUAACUUCUUCAUCAUCAUCUUCAUCUUCUUCAUCUCAUUGGGUUUCAUCUGAGGAAAAUAUGAAUGGAAAAUCCAACAUAGCUCCUGUGGGACAUCAACAACAGCAGCAGAUUGUACAUGGAAGGAACAGAAGUUCUUGGGGAUGGGCAUUUGCAAGUCCAAUGAGAGCUUUCAGUAAGACAUCAUCAUCAAAUGGGAAAAGAGGUGCAUCGAAUAAGAAUGCUAAUACUCCUA